UACGGAGGGUGCAAGCGUUGUCCGGAUUUAUUGGGCUUAAAGGGUGCGCAGGCGGCCCGUUAAGUCAGCGGUGAAAUACUUCGGCUCAACCGAAGAGGUGCCGUUGAUACUGACAGGCUUGAGCACGGUUGAGGUAUGCGGAAUUGACGGUGUAGCGGUGAAAUGCAUAGAUACCGUCAGGAACACCAAUUGCGUAGGCA
RNAcentral lists this ribosomal RNA (200 nucleotides) under uncultured bacterium. RNAcentral's name for it is "partial 16S ribosomal RNA". It matches the Rfam family "Bacterial small subunit ribosomal RNA", at positions 524 to 723 of the family's 1533-position model. The record is from RNAcentral.